ACGGGUGAGUAACACGUGGGGAUCUGCCCUGAAGAGCGGGACAACCCGAGGAAACUCGGGCUAAUACCGCAUACUACUCUGAGGAGGAAAGGCUAGGUAGCAAUAUCUGGCGCUUUAGGAGGAACCUGCGUCCGAUUAGCUAGUUGGUUAGGUAAAAGCUGACCAAGGCGAAGAUCGGUAGCUGGUCUGAGAGGAUGAUCAGCCACACUGGGACUGAGACACGGCCCAGACUCCUACGGGAGGCAGCAGUGGGGAAUAUUGGACAAUGGGGGCAACCCUGAUCCAGCAAUGCCGCGUGUGUGAAGAAGGCCUUCGGGUUGUAAAGCACUUUAGUUGGGGAAGAAGUAAUGGCGUUUAAGAGAUACCAUUGUUGACGGUACCCAAAGAAUAAGCACCGGCUAACUCUGUGCCAGCAGCCGCGGUAAUACAGAGGGUGCGAGCGUUAAUCGGAAUUACUGGGCGUAAAGGGCGCGUAGGCGGGUCAUUAAGUGAGUAGUGAAAUCCCCGGGCUUAACCUGGGCAUGGCGACCUAUACUGAUGAUCUGGAGUAUGGUAGAGGGUAGUGGAAUUUCCGGUG
Molecule: ribosomal RNA, 577 nt
Filed under: uncultured bacterium
Lineage: Bacteria
Description: bacterial SSU rRNA
Rfam family: Bacterial small subunit ribosomal RNA
Source: RNAcentral